RNAcentral lists this ribosomal RNA (93 nucleotides) under Staphylococcus epidermidis. Its description in RNAcentral is "partial 16S ribosomal RNA". It matches the Rfam family "Bacterial small subunit ribosomal RNA", at positions 1441 to 1533 of the family's 1533-position model. The record is from RNAcentral. Lineage: Bacteria; Bacillati; Bacillota; Bacilli; Caryophanales; Staphylococcaceae.
AGCCGGAGCUAGCCGUCGAAGGUGGGACAAAUGAUUGGGGUGAAGUCGUAACAAGGUAGCCGUAUCGGAAGGUGCGGCUGGAUCACCUCCUUU